This 372-nucleotide ribosomal RNA is filed under the name uncultured organism. Its description in RNAcentral is "bacterial SSU rRNA". It matches the Rfam family "Bacterial small subunit ribosomal RNA", at positions 526 to 895 of the family's 1533-position model. The record is from RNAcentral.
CGGAGGGCGCAAGCGUUGUUCGGAAUCACUGGGCGUAAAGCGCGUGUAGGCGGCCUUCUCAGUCUGGUGUGAAAGCCCGGGGCUCACCCCCGGAAGUGCAUUGGAUACUGGAAGGCUGGAGUACCGGAGAGGAGGGUGGAAUUCCUGGUGUAGCGGUGAAGUGCGUAGAUAUCAGGAGGAACACCGGUGGCGAAGGCGGCCCACUGGACGGAUACUGACGCUGAGACGCGACAGCGUGGGGGAGCAAACAGGAUUAGAUACCCUGGUAGUCCACGCCGUAAACGAUGGGUACUAGGUGUUCGGGGUAUUGACCCCCUGAGUGCCGCAGCUAACGCAUUAAGUACCCCGCCUGGGGACUUCGGCCGCAAGGCU